CGUUGGCGAGGAUGUGGGGAAAAGGUACACUCACACAUUGCUGGUGGGACUGCAAAUUGCUGCAACCACUUUGGAAAGCAGUAUGGAGAUUUCUCAGAAAACUUGGAAUGGAACUGCCAUUUGACCCAGUUAUCCCACUCCUUGGUUUAUAUCCAAAGGACUUAAAUCAGCAUACUGCAGUGACACAGCCACAUCAAUGUUUACAGCAGCUCAACUCACAACAGCUGAGCUGUGGAACCAACCUAGCAGCUCUUUAACAAAUGAAUGAAUAAAGAAAACGUGGUACAUAUACACAAUGGAAUAUUACUCAGCCAUAAAAAACAAGGACUUUAUGACUUUUGCCUGUAAAUUGGAUGGAGCUGGAGACUAUGAUGCUAAGUGAAAUAAGCCAAUCCCAGGAAUCCAAGGCCAAAUGUUCUCUCUGAUAUGCGGAUGCUAAUAUACAAUAAGGGGGAGAUGGAAGAAUAGAAGUUCAUUGGAUUAGACAAAGAGGAAUGAAGAGAAGGGAGGGGGAUGGGAAUAGGAAAGAUAGUAGAAUGAAUCAGACAUAACUUUCCUGUGUUGACAUGUGAAUACACAACCUGUGUAACUCCACAUCACGUAUAACCUCAAGAAUGAAAUCCUAAUUUGAAUAAGUUAUGCUCCAUGCAUGUAUAAUAUGUCCAAAUACACUCUACUGUCACGU
RNAcentral lists this long non-coding RNA (685 nucleotides) under Marmota monax (woodchuck). Lineage: Eukaryota; Metazoa; Chordata; Mammalia; Rodentia; Sciuridae. The record is from RNAcentral.